Long non-coding RNA from Astatotilapia calliptera (eastern happy), 578 nucleotides. The record is from Ensembl. NCBI's taxonomy places the organism in Eukaryota, Metazoa, Chordata, Actinopteri, Cichliformes, Cichlidae.
ACACACUUGUGUAACCCUGGAGAGUUACUAAGGGUUUUAGUGUGUUAUGAGUGAUGUUAGUAUUUUGAGUUCACUGUUAAGUUUUAUUAAGUUAAAUUAUUUUGUUGAGAAUUAAUAAAAUAGAAGAUGUCUAUAAUGUCCUGAUGGUCCUUGAAGUAUACAGGGGGAAGUACCGCCUCCUGCCGUUCACUGCAUAGCAGCUACGGAUAUCAGGAGAGAGGGAGAGGAAGAAAAGUCCGUUUUUCCAAGUGGAAAGCGUGGUUGUUUUUAUCCUGUACGGUGGAAAUAAGCUAUCUAGGAAUUGUUGUUACCCAGAAAGGAGUUUGUUACUGCUCGGAUUCUUCUGGUUGUGCUACAACGCUUCACCAUCGCCAUUUUGAAGCUCCAGGAGAGUCCAUUUUAUUGGUUACUUUGGUCAGGUUUUUUUUACUUGGGCGUACAGUUCAGUGAUGAUCCAGUCCAAAGAUGGCGAGCCACCCCUCCAGGACCCUUGAGAUGAUUGCUCUAGGAAGAGAACUAAAUUCUUUGGACGAACUGUGAACUGUACAAACUCUACUUAAGUGGUAGGACAGAUUUGC